Molecule: ribosomal RNA, 836 nt
Filed under: uncultured crenarchaeote
Lineage: Archaea; Thermoproteati; Thermoproteota
Description: bacterial SSU rRNA
Rfam family: Archaeal small subunit ribosomal RNA
Source: RNAcentral
UAAGCCAUGCGAGUCAACGUAGCAAUACGUGGCACACGGCUCAGUAACACGUAGUCAACAUAACCAGAGGACGUGGAUAAACUCGGGAAACUGAGGCUAAACCGCGAUAGACCAAGAUACCUGGAAUGGUUUUUGAUCAAAAUCUAUAUGGCCUUUGGAUUGGACUGCGACCGAUCAGGCUGUUGGUGAGGUAAUGGCCCACCAAACCUGUAACCGGUACGGGCUCUGAGAGGAGGAGCCCGGAGAUGGGCACUGAGACAAGGACCCAGGCCCUAUGGGGCGCAGCAGGCGCGAAACCUCUGCAAUAGGCGAAAGCCUGACAGGGUUAUUCUGAGUGACUUUCGCUAAGAAAGUCUUUUGACAUCUCUAAAAAUGGUGUAGAAUAAGGGGUGGGCAAGUCUGGUGUCAGCCGCCGCGGUAAUACCAGCACCCCGAGUGGUCGGGACGAUUAUUGGGCCUAAAGCAUCCGUAGCCGGUUUUACAAGUCCUCCGUUAAAUCCAACUGCUUAACAGAUGGGCCGCGGAGGAUACUAUAAGACUAGGAGGCAGGAGAGGCAAGCGGUACUCAGUGGGUAGGGGUAAAAUCCGUUGAUCCAUUGAAGACCACCAGUGGCGAAGGCGGCUUGCCAGAAUGCGCUCGACGGUGAGGGAUGAAAGCUGGGGGAGCAAACCGGAUUAGAUACCCGGGUAGUCCCAGCUGUAAACGAUGCAGACUCGGUGAUGGACUAGCUUAAUGCUAGUCCAGUGCCGCAGGGAAGCCGUUAAGUCUGCCGCCUGGGUAGUACGGUCGCAAGACUGAAACUUAAAGGAAUUGGCGGGGGAGCACCACAAGGGGU